UGGAUAGCUCAGUCGGUAAAGCUUGAGUCUCUUAAUCUCAGGGUUGUGGGUGCAAGCCUCACAUGGGGCAAAA
Non-coding RNA from Podarcis lilfordi (Lilford's wall lizard), 73 nucleotides. The record is from the annotation of a GenBank genome assembly. NCBI's taxonomy places the organism in Eukaryota, Metazoa, Chordata, Lepidosauria, Squamata, Lacertidae.